CAGUAGCCGCGGUAAUACAGAGGGUGCAAGCGUUAAUCGGAAUUACUGGGCGUAAAGCGCGCGUAGGUGGUUUGUUAAGUUGGAUGUGAAAUCCCCGGGCUCAACCUGGGAACUGCAUCCAAAACUGGCAAGCUAGAGUAUGGUAGAGGGUGGUGGAAUUUCCUGUGUAGCGGUGAAAUGCGUUGAGAUCGGAAAGAACACCAACGGCGAAAGCACUCUGCUGGGCCGACACUGACACUGAGAGACGAAAGCUAGGGGAGCAAAUGGGAUUAGAUACCCCUGUAGUCCCUGUCUCUUAUAC
RNAcentral lists this ribosomal RNA (301 nucleotides) under uncultured bacterium. RNAcentral's name for it is "partial 16S ribosomal RNA". It matches the Rfam family "Bacterial small subunit ribosomal RNA", at positions 509 to 807 of the family's 1533-position model. The record is from RNAcentral.